Molecule: ribosomal RNA, 433 nt
Filed under: uncultured bacterium
Lineage: Bacteria
Description: partial 16S ribosomal RNA
Rfam family: Bacterial small subunit ribosomal RNA
Source: RNAcentral
AACGAACGCUGGCGGCAUGCCUAACACAUGCAAGUCGAACGAGACCUUCGGGUCUAGGGGCGCACGGGUGCGUAACGCGUGGGAACCUGCCCUUAGGUUCGGUAUCACUCCCCGAAAGGGGUCCUAAUACCGCUUAAUGUCUUCGGACCAAAGAUUUAUCGCCUUUGGAUGGGGCCGCGUUGGAUUCGCUAGUUGGUAGUGGAAAAGCCUACCAACGAGACGAUCCAUAGCUGGUCUGGGAGGAUGAUCAGCCCCACUGGGACUGAGACACGGCCCAGACUGCUACGGGAGGCAGCAGUGGGGAAUACUGGACACUGGGCGAAAGCCUGAUCCAGCAAUGCCGCGUGAGUGAUGAAUGCCUUAGGGUUGUAAAGCUGUUUUACACGGGAUGAUAAUGACAGUACCGGGAGAAGAAGCUCCGGCUAACUCCGUG